UACGUAGGGGGCAAGCGUUGUCCGGAUUUAUUGGGCGUAAAGAGCGUGUAGGCGGCUUGGUAGGUCCGCUGUGAAAACUCGAGGCUCAACCUCGAGAUGUCGGCGGAAACCGCUUGGCUAGAGUCCGGAAGAGGAGAGUGGAAUUCCCGGUGUAGCGGUGAAAUGCGCAGAUAUCGGGAAGAACACCUAUGGCGAAGGCAGCUCUCUGGGACGGUACUGACGCUGAGACGCGAAAGCGUGGGGAGCAAACAGG
Molecule: ribosomal RNA, 253 nt
Filed under: uncultured bacterium
Lineage: Bacteria
Description: partial 16S ribosomal RNA
Rfam family: Bacterial small subunit ribosomal RNA
Source: RNAcentral